This is a non-coding RNA of Salmo salar (Atlantic salmon), 54 nucleotides long. Lineage: Eukaryota; Metazoa; Chordata; Actinopteri; Salmoniformes; Salmonidae. The record is from Rfam.
AUGCAUGAUGACUGUAAGUCGCUUUGGAUAAAAGAGUCUGCUAAAUGGCAUAGU